CACGUGCUUGUAAAGGGAACAGGGUUUUUCCUCCCUGAGUUCUUGAGAGGAAAAAAUACCAGGAUUUUAAGCUUGGCUUUUUUUUUUUUGGUUUGUUAAGGAGAGCUCCUUGACGCAUAAAGCGAGAGACUUAGAGAAAGCAGCUUGCAACUACUUUCCCUUUGUACUUAAAUCAGCUGAAAUUGUCUAACUGCUUCAAUGUGGCUCUUAAGAUGAUAGCAGAAGUUAAACCUUCGGGGACGUAAUAUUUUGUCGAGUUCAUGUUUUAGUGCUGUGCAUUUUGUGGACAUUUAAUGACUUUGUAUUACUAUUUUGAGAGAGUACUGCCACCUUUCAGUUGUUGUAGAUAGAACAACAACUGAAAAGUUCAUUGGAUUUAACUCAGAGGUUCAUCAGUGAGAUUUUUCGUGACUUGCUGAUAAGCACAAGGACGCACUGUGUGGGAUUUAACAGGAGAUUUUUAAAAAUCUGAAAAAGUAGAUGCUAGAUAAUACGUAUCACUUAAAAUCAGAGGUCUGGCCAGAGUAAAUCAUCGCCUCUGGUCUCUUGAGAGGUUGGGGCAUGGGCCCCAGAGACCUUAAAUGGAUUACCAGUUAUCCAGAAGACUAAUGCAUAAUGAAGUGGCUAAGUUCAUGGCCAUUAGUAGUUUCCUCGUCUAUAAAACAGACAAUAACGGUACCUUACAGGGCAGCUGUGAGGAUUACGUGGGGUACAGCACUUGAAGUGUGUGACACAUAGUAGACGCUAUAAAUGUUGUGAUUCUUUGUACUUAAGGGCAAAAUCAUCUGCUUUUCCUUUUAAAGCAAGAAGGCUGGAGAAGAAAGAAUAUUAUUAAAUUGUAAUCUGAAAGGCUGCACGUUGGAGGUGCCCUAGCUAUGUAUUUCUAUUCAAGUAGAGGAGAUAAGUGUCACUGCAGUGUUGAGUGUCACCGAGGCUAUCCUGCCUGGUGUGAGGUGAUACCAUUGUAGCUUUGGUUUGCGUUUCCCUGAUGAUUAGUGAUGUGGAGCAUCUUUUCGUAUGCCUGUUGCUCAUCUGUAUUUCUUUGGAGAAGUGUCUGUUUAGGUCCUCCAUUUUUUAAAUAGUUUUUCGGUGUUGAGGUAUAUGCUUCAUUUCGUUAAUUUUUCCAUGGAAUAAGACGUUUUUAAUAGCUUUCUUUUUAUUUAGUGAGAUAAAAGCUUGGAAGCCAGAAAGGCCUUGCUAAAGACAUUUAAAAGUGGCACUUCCUUAGGUGUACUGCAGACUUCAUUGACAUGGUUGAAACGGGCUUUCUGAUCCUGUUAGCAUAUAUCGCUCCCAAGAUCUGAAUGGGUGUGCUUGUGCUGUAAAUUACCAGCCGGUGGCAUUUUUCACUUCUUUGACAGUGUUUCUAGACUUCAGACACCACUAGAUACUAUCCGAGUGGGACAUACUUUUGAAGGAUGUGCAAUGUUCAAUCAUAAGUGUGACAAAAACUGACAAGCAGGAAGCUUAUGUACUCAGGUGAG
This is a non-coding RNA of Manis javanica (Malayan pangolin), 1484 nucleotides long. Lineage: Eukaryota; Metazoa; Chordata; Mammalia; Pholidota; Manidae. The record is from RefSeq and is a predicted model, not a curated record.